This 462-nucleotide ribosomal RNA is filed under the name uncultured bacterium. Its description in RNAcentral is "partial 16S ribosomal RNA". It matches the Rfam family "Bacterial small subunit ribosomal RNA", at positions 28 to 507 of the family's 1533-position model. The record is from RNAcentral.
GACGAACGCUGGCGGCGUGCUUAACACAUGCAAGUCGAACGGUGAAGCCCUUCGGGGUGGAUCAGUGGCGAACGGGUGAGUAACACGUGAGCAACCUGCCCCUGGCUCUGGGACAACCACUGGAAACGGUGGCUAAUACCGGAUACGACCCGCCUCGGCAUCGAGUGUGGGUGGAAAGUUUUUCGGCUGGGGAUGGGCUCGCGGCCUAUCAGCUUGUUGGUGAGGUGAAGGCGCACCAAGGCGACGACGGGUAGCCGGCCUGAGAGGGCGACCGGCCACACUGGGACUGAGACACGGCCCAGACUCCUACGGGAGGCAGCAGUGGGGAAUAUUGCACAAUGGGCGAAAGCCUGAUGCAGCGACGCCGCGUGAGGGAUGACGGCCUUCGGGUUGUAAACCUCUUUCAGCUCCGAAGAAGCGAAAGUGACGGUAGGAGCAGAAGAAGCACCGGCUAACUACGUG